Molecule: ribosomal RNA, 1424 nt
Filed under: Micrococcus luteus
Lineage: Bacteria; Bacillati; Actinomycetota; Actinomycetes; Micrococcales; Micrococcaceae
Description: bacterial SSU rRNA
Rfam family: Bacterial small subunit ribosomal RNA
Source: RNAcentral
GGGUGCGGUGCUUACCAUGCAAGUCGAACGAUGAAGCCCAGCUUGCUGGGUGGAUUAGUGGCGAACGGGUGAGUAACACGUGAGUAACCUGCCCUUAACUCUGGGAUAAGCCUGGGAAACUGGGUCUAAUACCGGAUAGGAGCGCCUACCGCAUGGUGGGUGUUGGAAAGAUUUAUCGGUUUUGGAUGGACUCGCGGCCUAUCAGCUUGUUGGUGAGGUAAUGGCUCACCAAGGCGACGACGGGUAGCCGGCCUGAGAGGGUGACCGGCCACACUGGGACUGAGACACGGCCCAGACUCCUACGGGAGGCAGCAGUGGGGAAUAUUGCACAAUGGGCGAAAGCCUGAUGCAGCGACGCCGCGUGAGGGAUGACGGCCUUCGGGUUGUAAACCUCUUUCAGUAGGGAAGAAGCGAAAGUGACGGUACCUGCAGAAGAAGCACCGGCUAACUACGUGCCAGCAGCCGCGGUAAUACGUAGGGUGCGAGCGUUAUCCGGAAUUAUUGGGCGUAAAGAGCUCGUAGGCGGUUUGUCGCGUCUGUCGUGAAAGUCCGGGGCUUAACCCCGGAUCUGCGGUGGGUACGGGCAGACUAGAGUGCAGUAGGGGAGACUGGAAUUCCUGGUGUAGCGGUGGAAUGCGCAGAUAUCAGGAGGAACACCGAUGGCGAAGGCAGGUCUCUGGGCUGUAACUGACGCUGAGGAGCGAAAGCAUGGGGAGCGAACAGGAUUAGAUACCCUGGUAGUCCAUGCCGUAAACGUUGGGCACUAGGUGUGGGGACCAUUCCACGGUUUCCGCGCCGCAGCUAACGCAUUAAGUGCCCCGCCUGGGGAGUACGGCCGCAAGGCUAAAACUCAAAGGAAUUGACGGGGGCCCGCACAAGCGGCGGAGCAUGCGGAUUAAUUCGAUGCAACGCGAAGAACCUUACCAAGGCUUGACAUGUUCUCGAUCGCCGUAGAGAUACGGUUUCCCCUUUGGGGCGGGUUCACAGGUGGUGCAUGGUUGUCGUCAGCUCGUGUCGUGAGAUGUUGGGUUAAGUCCCGCAACGAGCGCAACCCUCGUUCCAUGUUGCCAGCACGUCGUGGUGGGGACUCAUGGGAGACUGCCGGGGUCAACUCGGAGGAAGGUGAGGACGACGUCAAAUCAUCAUGCCCCUUAUGUCUUGGGCUUCACGCAUGCUACAAUGGCCGGUACAAUGGGUUGCGAUACUGUGAGGUGGAGCUAAUCCCAAAAAGCCGGUCUCAGUUCGGAUUGGGGUCUGCAACUCGACCCCAUGAAGUCGGAGUCGCUAGUAAUCGCAGAUCAGCAACGCUGCGGUGAAUACGUUCCCGGGCCUUGUACACACCGCCCGUCAAGUCACGAAAGUUCUGGUAACACCCGAAGCCGGUGGCCUAACCCUUGUGGGGGGAGCCGUCGAAGGUGACCAGG